ACAUGCAAGUCGAACGAACUCUGGUAUUGAUUGGUGCUUGCAUCAUGAUUUACAUUUGAGUGAGUGGCGAACUGGUGAGUAACACGUGGGAAACCUGCCCAGAAGCGGGGGAUAACACCUGGAAACAGAUGCUAAUACCGCAUAACAACUUGGACCGCAUGGUCCGAGUUUGAAAGAUGGCUUCGGCUAUCACUUUUGGAUGGUCCCGCGGCGUAUUAGCUAGAUGGUGGGGUAACGGCUCACCAUGGCAAUGAUACGUAGCCGACCUGAGAGGGUAAUCGGCCACAUUGGGACUGAGACACGGCCCAAACUCCUACGGGAGGCAGCAGUAGGGAAUCUUCCACAAUGGACGAAAGUCUGAUGGAGCAACGCCGCGUGAGUGAAGAAGGGUUUCGGCUCGUAAAACUCUGUUGUUAAAGAAGAACAUAUCUGAGAGUAACUGUUCAGGUAUUGACGGUAUUUAACCAGAAAGCCACGGCUAACUACGUGCCAGCAGCCGCGGUAAUACGUAGGUGGCAAGCGUUGUCCGGAUUUAUUGGGCGUAAAGCGAGCGCAGGCGGUUUUUUAAGUCUGAUGUGAAAGCCUUCGGCUCAACCGAAGAAGUGCAUCGGAAACUGGGAAACUUGAGUGCAGAAGAGGACAGUGGAACUCCAUGUGUAGCGGUGAAAUGCGUAGAUAUAUGGAAGAACACCAGUGGCGAAGGCGGCUGUCUGGUCUGUAACUGACGCUGAGGCUCGAAAGUAUGGGUAGCAAACAGGAUUAGAUACCCUGGUAGUCCAUACCGUAAACGAUGAAUGCUAAGUGUUGGAGGGUUUCCGCCCUUCAGUGCUGCAGCUAACGCAUUAAGCAUUCCGCCUGGGGAGUACGGCCGCAAGGCUGAAACUCAAAGGAAUUGACGGGGGCCCGCACAAGCGGUGGAGCAUGUGGUUUAAUUCGAAGCUACGCGAAGAACCUUACCAGGUCUUGACAUACUAUGCAAAUCUAAGAGAUUAGACGUUCCCUUCGGGGACAUGGAUACAGGUGGUGCAUGGUUGUCGUCAGCUCGUGUCGUGAGAUGUUGGGUUAAGUCCCGCAACGAGCGCAACCCUUAUUAUCAGUUGCCAGCAUUAAGUUGGGCACUCUGGUGAGACUGCCGGUGACAAACCGGAGGAAGGUGGGGAUGACGUCAAAUCAUCAUGCCCCUUAUGACCUGGGCUACACACGUGCUACAAUGGAUGGUACAACGAGUUGCGAACUCGCGAGAGUAAGCUAAUCUCUUAAAGCCAUUCUCAGUUCGGAUUGUAGGCUGCAACUCGCCUACAUGAAGUCGGAAUCGCUAGUAAUCGCGGAUCAGCAUGCCGCGGUGAAUACGUUCCCGGGCCUUGUACACACCGCCCGUCACACCAUGAGAGUUUGUAACACCCAAAGUCGGUGGGGUAACCUUUUAGGAACCAGCCGCCUAAGGUGGACA
RNAcentral lists this ribosomal RNA (1450 nucleotides) under Lactobacillus sp. RNAcentral's name for it is "bacterial SSU rRNA". It matches the Rfam family "Bacterial small subunit ribosomal RNA". The record is from RNAcentral. Lineage: Bacteria; Bacillati; Bacillota; Bacilli; Lactobacillales; Lactobacillaceae.